RNAcentral lists this ribosomal RNA (445 nucleotides) under uncultured bacterium. RNAcentral describes it as "bacterial SSU rRNA". It matches the Rfam family "Bacterial small subunit ribosomal RNA", at positions 354 to 796 of the family's 1533-position model. The record is from RNAcentral.
GUAGGGAAUAUUGGGCAAUGGAUGCAAGUCUGACCCAGCCAUCCCGCGUGCCGGAAGAAGGCCCUCAGGGUUGUAAACGGCUUUUGACGGUGAAGAAUCGACAGGAUGCGUCCUGUUUUGACGGUAGCCGUUGAAUAAGCACCGGCUAACUCCGUGCCAGCAGCCGCGGUAAUACGGAGGGUGCGAGCGUUGUCCGGAUUUAUUGGGUUUAAAGGGUGCGUAGGCUGGAGGGUCAGUCAGCGGUGAAAAGCUGUCGCUUUACGAUAGUCUUGCCGCAGAUACUUCCUUUCUUGGAUGAGGAGGAGGCCACUGGAACGGAUGGUGUAGCGGUGAAAUGCAUAGAUAUCAUCCAGAACACCGAUUGCGAAGGCAGGUGGCUGUACCUUAAUCGACGCUGAUGCACGAAAGCAUGGGGAGCAAACAGGAUUAGAAACCCCAGUAGUCC